RNAcentral lists this long non-coding RNA (471 nucleotides) under Aotus nancymaae (Ma's night monkey). RNAcentral's name for it is "lncRNA (ENSANAG00000039248.1)". The record is from RNAcentral. Lineage: Eukaryota; Metazoa; Chordata; Mammalia; Primates; Aotidae.
UGAUAAUUAAAAGGAGAUAACAAGAAUUUUCACUAAGAAGAAUGACUUGAGUGGUGAUAAAUUGGUACUGCCUUCUACAGUGUUAAUUUAAAUUUAAAUCUAUACCCACAAUAUUGGCCACCUCCUAGAGAAGUAAGGUAGCCUAGAAGAUUCUGUCAAGGAUGCUGCUUGUGGCCAAAUAAAUAUAUAAGUCAAUGCAUCUUUCUGAAAAUCAUGUUGUCUUUUUACCUCCACGUUUAUGACCUAACCCAGAUGCACAUGGAGACUCUUCUUCCUGAACUCCUUACGAGACAAGAAAGCAGCACUGGUAAAGCCUACAUUAAUUCUAGAGUGCUGAUUUCAUUCUUGUAUUCUCUUAAUAAAUCAUUGAUGAUGCAACACUUUCUCGGGAAUAUUAUUAGAACCAGUUUACCAUUAACAGCUUUCAAAGCACUGCAAGUGGAAAAAAGACUUCCUAUGAAUCUAAAGUGA